CCUACGGGAGACAGCAGUCGAGAAUCUUUCACAAUGGGGGAAACCCUGAUGGUGCGACGCCGCGUGGGGGAAUGAAGGUCUUCGGAUUGUAAACCCCUGUCAUGUGGGAGCAAAGUAAAAAGAUAGUACCACAAGAGGAAGAGACGGCUAACUCGGUGCCAGCAGCUGCGGUAAUACAGAGGUCUCAAGCGUUGUUCGGAUUCACUGGGCGUAAAGUGUGCGUAGGCUGUUUCGUAAGUCGUGUGUGAAAGGCGCGGGCUCAACCCGCGGACGGCAUAUGAUACUGCGGGACUAGAGUAAUGGAGGGGGAACCGGAAUUCGCGGUGUAGCAGUGAAAUGCGUAGAUA
RNAcentral lists this ribosomal RNA (347 nucleotides) under uncultured bacterium. RNAcentral's name for it is "partial 16S ribosomal RNA". It matches the Rfam family "Bacterial small subunit ribosomal RNA", at positions 338 to 696 of the family's 1533-position model. The record is from RNAcentral.